Molecule: long non-coding RNA, 132 nt
Organism: Penaeus monodon (black tiger shrimp)
Lineage: Eukaryota; Metazoa; Arthropoda; Malacostraca; Decapoda; Penaeidae
Exons: 2
Source: RefSeq, a predicted model, not a curated record
ACUUAGAUGAACUUCAACUACCCAAAACAAACAACCAAACAGGGAAAAUCAACCUCCUGCAAAGAAGUACUACAUACUAAGACACUUGAAAAUCUUCCUUCAAAGAACAAGAAUAAUAAAUAUCAUAUAAAA